Molecule: ribosomal RNA, 1023 nt
Filed under: uncultured cyanobacterium
Lineage: Bacteria; Bacillati; Cyanobacteriota
Description: bacterial SSU rRNA
Rfam family: Bacterial small subunit ribosomal RNA
Source: RNAcentral
GAAAGCCUGACGGAGCAACGCCGCGUGAGGGAUGGAGGCCUUUGGGCUGUAAACCUCUUUUCUCAAGGAAGAAGAUCUGACGGUACUUGAGGAAUAAGCCACGGCUAAUUCCGUGCCAGCAGCCGCGGUAAUACGGGAGUGGCAAGCGUUAUCCGGAAUUAUUGGGCGUAAAGCGUCCGCAGGCGGCCGUUUAAGUCUGUUGUUAAAUCGUGGAGCUCAACUCCAUCACGGCAAUGGAAACUGUUCGGCUUGAGUAUGGUAGGGGCAGAGGGAAUUUCCGGUGUAGCGGUGAAAUGCGUAGAUAUCGGGAAGAACACCAGUGGCGAAAGCGCUCUGCUGGGCCAUUACUGACGCUCAUGGACGAAAGCCAGGGGAGCGAAAGGGAUUAGAUACCCCUGUAGUCCUGGCCGUAAACGAUGAACACUAGAUGUUGGGGGAAUCGACCCCCUCGGUGUCGUAGCUAACGCGUUAAGUGUUCCGCCUGGGGAGUACGCACGCAAGUGUGAAACUCAAAGGAAUUGACGGGGGCCCGCACAAGCGGUGGAGUAUGUGGUUUAAUUCGAUGCAACGCGAAGAACCUUACCAAGGCUUGACAUCCUGCGAAUCUCCAAGAAAUUGGAGAGUGCCUUCGGGAACGCAGUGACAGGUGGUGCAUGGCUGUCGUCAGCUCGUGUCGUGAGAUGUUGGGUUAAGUCCCGCAACGAGCGCAACCCACGUUUUUAGUUGCCAGCAUUCAGUUGGGCACUCUAGAAAGACUGCCGGUGACAAACCGGAGGAAGGUGUGGACGACGUCAAGUCAUCAUGCCCCUUACGCCUUGGGCUACACACGUACUACAAUGCUGCGGACAAAGAGUAGCGAUCUUGCGAAAGUUAGCUAAUCUCACAAACCGCGGCUCAGUUCAGAUCGUAGGCUGCAACUCGCCUACGUGAAGGAGGAAUCGCUAGUAAUCGCAGGUCAGCAUACUGCGGUGAAUACGUUCCCGGGCCUUGUACACACCGCCCGUCACACCAUGGAAGUUGGCC